Clupea harengus (Atlantic herring) is the source of this 344-nucleotide long non-coding RNA. The record is from Ensembl. NCBI's taxonomy places the organism in Eukaryota, Metazoa, Chordata, Actinopteri, Clupeiformes, Clupeidae.
CGAUUCUCAUCCCUACGCACAAGGGUAUUUAGAGGUUGCACAGGGGAGUUGAGAGGUUGCACAGGGGUGUUGAUAGGAUGCACAGGGGUGUUGGUAGGAUGCACAGGGGUAUUGAUAGGAUGCACAGGGAUGUUGCACAGGGGUAUUUAGAGGUUGCACAGGGGUAUUUAGAGGAUGCACAGGGAUGUUGAGAGGAUGCACAGGGGUGUUGCACAGGGGUCUUGAGAGGUUGUACUUUACAUAUAUAAUGAUUGCUGUCUAACUUGUACAUUAAUUACUUGGCACAUUUUAUACCAUAGCCCUUCGUACAGCAUCACUGUAUUUAUUUAUUACAUGUAUUUAGU